CAAUAGCGUAUAUUAAAGUUGUUGCAGUUCAAAAGCUCGUAGUUGGAUUUCGGGGCAGCCUGGCUGGUCCGCCGCAAGGCGAGUACUGGUCAGCCGCCCUUCCUCUCGAAAGCCCCGACUGCUCUUUAUUGCAGUGGUCGGGUAGUUCGGGACGUUUACUUUGAAAAAAUUAGAGUGUUCAAGGCAGGCCUACGCCUGAAUACAUUAGCAUGGAAUAAUGGAAGAGGACCUCGGUCCUAUUUUGUUGGUUUCCAGGACCGAAGUAAUGAUUAAGAGGGACAGUUGGGGGCAUUCGUAUUUAAUUGUCAGAGGUGAAAUUCUCGGAUUUAUGAAAGACGAACAACUGCGAAAGCAUUUGCCAAGGAUGUUUUCAUUAA
Molecule: ribosomal RNA, 377 nt
Filed under: uncultured eukaryote
Lineage: Eukaryota
Description: partial 18S ribosomal RNA
Rfam family: Eukaryotic small subunit ribosomal RNA
Source: RNAcentral